GGCCAGUUAGCUCAGUCAAUUGAGCGUAGCGCUAACAACGCUAAGGUCACGAAUUCGAUUCCCGUCCAGUCCC
Apaloderma vittatum (bar-tailed trogon) is the source of this 73-nucleotide non-coding RNA. The record is from Rfam. Lineage: Eukaryota; Metazoa; Chordata; Aves; Trogoniformes; Trogonidae.